CUGGCAGUUCUAUCUUUUGCCUCAUCUUCUUUUCUGUUAUUCAUAUGCUCCCUGGUCCCCGAGGGUUCAGCUGGCUCACUUGGCUUCUAACCCAUAGCUCCCCAGACUGGGAGCUCCCAGGCCUAGAGCCCACAAUUCCUGUGGGUGUCCAUGUUUGAGAGGUUUUGUCACACCCUCAAGGAUGACGGAGGUGCAGGCCUUUUAUCGGUUUCAAAGGUGGCUUCAUUGGAGAAGGAAUCCAAAAGCUGUAGAAAGUAAAGAGAAAAAGAGCCCUCCCCAUCUUAACCCCUUAAGCUUUCCUCACAAAGAACAACAGAGUGAAACCGAACUAUUACAACACAGAUGAGACACCCAAAUGGGACACGACAGAAGGGUUUUCACAUGCCUUUGACUUCCUUUUUUCACCCAGGGUACAGACCAAUCUUGGUAAAGACAGGAAUCCGUUUGACAAACAUGAACACGACACCUAACACCCAAUGCCCAUACUGUUCUGUUCUGUUUUCAACAAGCCCUUCACCUCCCAAC
This is a long non-coding RNA of Lutra lutra (Eurasian river otter), 525 nucleotides long. RefSeq lists it as uncharacterized. The record is from RefSeq and is a predicted model, not a curated record. Lineage: Eukaryota; Metazoa; Chordata; Mammalia; Carnivora; Mustelidae. The transcript has 3 exons.